GUGCCAGCCGCCGCGGUAAUACGGGGGGUGCAAGCGUUGUUCGGAAUCAUUGGGCGUAAAGAGCGUGUAGGCGGCUGGAUAAGUCAGAUGUGAAAGCCCUGGGCUUAACCCAGGAAGUGCAUUUGAAACUAUUCAGCUGGAGUAAGGGAGAGGAAAGUGGAAUUCCUGGUGUAGAGGUGAAAUUCGUAGAUAUCAGGAGGAACACCGGCGGCGAAGGCGACUUUCUGGCCCUAUACUGACGCUGAGACGC
This 250-nucleotide ribosomal RNA is filed under the name uncultured bacterium. RNAcentral describes it as "partial 16S ribosomal RNA". It matches the Rfam family "Bacterial small subunit ribosomal RNA", at positions 505 to 754 of the family's 1533-position model. The record is from RNAcentral.